Molecule: long non-coding RNA, 370 nt
Organism: Varroa destructor (honeybee mite)
Lineage: Eukaryota; Metazoa; Arthropoda; Arachnida; Mesostigmata; Varroidae
Source: RefSeq, a predicted model, not a curated record
GUGGAAAUUUUUGAAUGUUCUACAAUAAGCGAAUGGGUUCCAUUACUGAGAUCGUCGUUCGUGACACGGUCCUCAUUGGAAGAAGUGCAGGGUUGAGAGAAAUUCGGUGUAUUGAAGAAGGCCUCAAGAUGACCUCGGUAUCAGAUUUCGCUUUCGGCCUGCUUCACAGGGGAUCGCCCCAAUCGCGAGACUGUUAAUGCUGCUCAUCUGGUUUGUGGCGACGAGUUCAUUGCCCUGGGAUAAGUCUGUAGUCACGCUUCGACUGGAAUAAUCUUAUUAAAGCACGUCCCCCGCAGUGGUAUCGUUAAUGUUCCCGGCGGACUUGAUUCUAUCGCUACGACAUUGUGGCAGCUCUUAUCGACUCUUCAAG